UUUUUUAUGAAAAUAGAAAAAAAUUAUUUAUGUAUGAAAAUUAUGGAAUACACUCAUUGCAAUAUACAAUCACACAGCACUACUUACAGUUCUACCAGCAAGAAAUUUCAAGGGAAUUAAAGACUAAUUUUAUUAAGAAAAGAAAUCAAAUUUCAUUGAUUGUACCAUAAAAUUGCUUAAACAUUAUUAUGGGAAACUAUACUUAUUUAGCUGAGACGCCCAAGAAACAAACGCUUUCAAACUUUUUUUUUUUUAAGCACAAACGCUUUCAAACUUACUACAUCACUGACACAAAUUAAUUUAAACAGUAAUUUGGUACCUCAAGAAAGACUUAUAAAAUCCAUAGAAACUAGCUCGGCAGAAAGAAAUCUGUCUUUAGGAGCAUUGGAAACCAGAGGGAACCUUCUUGCUACAGACAUUGAGAAGCAAGCUCAGUGAAAGUGGAAUGUUAAGGUUGAUGCCCAAGACGUUUGCUUUGAUGGCUGUGCAGAGGCAAACGGCAGCCUCAAGAUCGACAAGGCCUUGGAUGAGAGAGCAACAAGGUUCCACUGGAGGUUUUCCAAUGGUGAGAUUGAGCAAUGAACGCAGCACAUUGGCACAUACGCCUAAUUUAAGUGCAUCCCUAGGACAUUUUCCAUUGGAAGGUGAUGGAGUUGGUUUUGGCUUAGGAGAAGGGCAGCCCCCACCACAUGCAGAGACUAGGGAAAAGAAGAGAAGGUUGAGUACCAAAAAGAGAGCAAGUGAGGCUGUGCUUUUGGAAGCCAUUUCUCAAUACCAAUCGCUUUAUAUAUGCUAGUGAUUACAGUGACUCGCUAUAAGCUACAGUAGAGAGUAUUGUGAUGAGUGGAGGGAUAUGCAGUGAAGGAUGGGUUUAUAUAGGGCUCUUGGAGGAGAGUCUUCAGACUUGAGCUGAUGUUAACACGAAAUAAUUGAGAGAAAAUAUUACAAAAAAGCCAUGCACCUACGUGUACACUUGGGAUUUAGCUGGCAGUAGACAGGGAGCUUUGUGCAACUUCAUUUUGGAUGCUUCUGUAGUGGGUUUCCUCUGCCGUAGCAUGUAAAUCCUCAUAUAUGGGUCUGUCUACUUUGCAAAAUUUUGGCUUGCACUGUAUUGAUUCUACUGAUCCUGUGCAUCCACAUAAUUAAUUAGGAUCAUGAGAUAUGGGUUUCCUUCGCUGCUUUAUUUCUUCGGGUUGUUGUUAUUUCGGGUCUGCUG
RNAcentral lists this unclassified non-coding RNA (1216 nucleotides) under Hevea brasiliensis (rubber tree). The record is from RNAcentral. Lineage: Eukaryota; Viridiplantae; Streptophyta; Magnoliopsida; Malpighiales; Euphorbiaceae.